This is a non-coding RNA of Mycena latifolia, 108 nucleotides long. NCBI's taxonomy places the organism in Eukaryota, Fungi, Basidiomycota, Agaricomycetes, Agaricales, Mycenaceae. The record is from the annotation of a GenBank genome assembly.
GCACCAGUGGUGUAUGGAACACACACCGACUUGAUUCCAUAUCGAAUCUUGACCGAAUCGUCAGUCGACGGUGAGCGCUGAGCCGGGGUUCGAUUCCCCGCUGGUGCA